GAUGAACGCUAGCUACAGGCUUAACACAUGCAAGUCGCGGGGCAGCAUGGGGGUUGCUUGCAAUCCCCGAUGGCGACCGGCGCACGGGUGAGUAACGCGUAUCCAACCUGCCCUUCACCACGGGAUAACCCGGCGAAAGUCGGACUAAUACCGUAUGUUUUCCAUUGACGGCAUCCGAUUUGGACGAAAGGCUUGGCGGUGAGGGAUGGGGAUGCGUCCGAUUAGCCAGACGGCGGGGUAACGGCCCACCGUGGCUACGAUCGGUAGGGGUUCUGAGAGGAAGGUCCCCCACACUGGAACUGAGACACGGUCCAGACUCCUACGGGAGGCAGCAGUGAGGAAUAUUGGUCAAUGGGCGUAAGCCUGAACCAGCCAAGUAGCGUGCAGGAGGACGGCCCUAUGGGUUGUAAACUGCUUUUAUGCGGGGAUAAAGUGGCCCACGUGUGGGCUUUUGCAGGUACCGCAUGAAUAAGGACCGGCUAAUUCCGUG
This 490-nucleotide ribosomal RNA is filed under the name uncultured bacterium. RNAcentral's name for it is "partial 16S ribosomal RNA". It matches the Rfam family "Bacterial small subunit ribosomal RNA", at positions 28 to 507 of the family's 1533-position model. The record is from RNAcentral.